Molecule: long non-coding RNA, 792 nt
Filed under: Pan troglodytes (chimpanzee)
Lineage: Eukaryota; Metazoa; Chordata; Mammalia; Primates; Hominidae
Description: long non-coding RNA NONPTRT002544
Source: RNAcentral
GAAGGAAGUGGCACCCUCUCUACUCUGGGAGGAGGCUCCCCACCCUGUCCUCCGUGUGUUAGACACAGGGGCUCUAGGAAUUUAGAAAGUCUUCUCCCAAGGCAAUUGUCUGCUUGACAAGACUUAAAUCUGGCUUCAGAAUCCUGUUUUCUGUGUCCAAAGCUCAUUACUACUUGUUUCCUACUCUGUCCUUUCAUUUUCUAACAAUCCUAUCUCCCCCAGGCAACCGAAUGCCUCAGGCCAAUUAUCAAGAAGGUCAGGUACUCGAGAAGACAAAGGGAAAAGCAAAGUCAGUGUGGAAACACCUUCCUAUCAGACAGUUGUAGCCUCACUUUGCUUCCCUGUGGUCCCUAAACAAAAGGCUAGUUUGUCAUUAACUACACAUGAAAAAGAUUCUGGCUGGGCGCUGUGGUUCACGCCUGUAAUCCCAGCACUUUGGGAGACUUUGGUGGGCUGAUCACAAGGUCAGGAGUUCUAAUCAUCUUUUAUGAAAUCCUGCUGAGUCUACCAUCACUAAAUAUCUAAAUAUCACUGCUUUAAUUCAGCCUUCACAAGUGCUCUGGAUUGUUCGUUCAUUUUCAAGGAGUUUGAGACCAGCCCGGGCAACAUAGUGAGACCCAAUCUCUAUUAAAAAAUAAAAAUUAAAACAUAAAUAAAUAAAAAUUACUUGAUAUAUAUGCCUGAUCAAAUUCAAAUUUGAAUCUUGCCAAAAACUAAUGGAUCAUUUACAGGAAAUAAGAAGUUGAAGAGAAGGAUGAGUUAGUAGACUUCAAAGCAAACUCAUUUCCACAG